This 253-nucleotide ribosomal RNA is filed under the name uncultured bacterium. Its description in RNAcentral is "partial 16S ribosomal RNA". It matches the Rfam family "Bacterial small subunit ribosomal RNA", at positions 524 to 776 of the family's 1533-position model. The record is from RNAcentral.
UACAGAGGGUGCGAGCGUUGUCCGGAAUCACUGGGCGUAAAGGGCGCGUAGGUGGCACGACCAGUCCGUGGUGAAAGCUCGACGCUCAACGUCGAGUCGGCCACUGAUACUGUCGAGCUGGAGCACUGUAGAGGCUAAUGGAAUUCCGGGUGUAGCGGUGGAAUGCGUAGAGAUCCGGAAGAACACCGGUGGCGAAGGCGGUUAGCUGGGCAGUUGCUGACACUGAGGCGCGACAGCGUGGGGAGCAAACAGG